GUGGGGAAUCUUCCGCAAUGGACGAAAGUCUGACGGAGCAACGCCGCGUGAGUGAAGAAGGUUUUCGGAUCGUAAAGCUCUUUCGUUAGGGACGAACGUGCUCUUUGUGAAUAAUGAGGAGUAAUGACGGUACCUAAAUAAGAAGCCACGGCUAACUACGUGCCAGCAGCCGCGGUAAUACGUAGGUGGCAAUCGUUGUCCGGAAUUAUUGGGCGUAAAGCGCGCGCAGGCGGGAUAUCAAGUCUGUCUUAAAAGUGCGAGGCUCAACCUCGUGAGGGGACAGAAACUGGUAUUCUUGGGUGUCGGAGAGGAAAGUGGAAUUCCAAGUGUAGCGGUGAAAUGCGUAGAGAUUUGGAAGAACACCAGUGGCGAAGGCGACUUUCUGGACGAUGUCUGACGCUGAGGCGCGAAAGCUAGGGGAGCGAACGGGAUUAGAUACCCCAGUAGUCC
This 450-nucleotide ribosomal RNA is filed under the name uncultured bacterium. RNAcentral's name for it is "partial 16S ribosomal RNA". It matches the Rfam family "Bacterial small subunit ribosomal RNA", at positions 354 to 796 of the family's 1533-position model. The record is from RNAcentral.